UCUGCCUAGUAGUGGGGGAUAACUUGCCGAAAGGUAAGCUAAUACCGCAUACGUCCUACGGGAGAGAGCAGGGGACUCUUCGGAGCCUUGCGCUAUUAGAUGAGCCUAGGUCGGAUUAGUUAGUUGGUGAGGUAAUGGCUCACCAAGACAGCGAUCCGUAACUGGUCUGAGAGGAUGAUCAGUCACACUGGAACUGAGACACGGUCCAGACUCCUACGGGAGGCAGCAGUGGGGAAUAUUGGACAAUGGGGGAAACCCUGAUCCAGCCAUGCCGCGUGUGUGAAGAAGGUCUUCGGAUUGUAAAGCACUUUAAGUUGGGAGGAAGGGCAGUUAACUAAUAUUUGACUGUUUUGACGUUACCGACAGAAUAAGCACCGGCUAACUUCGUGCCAGCAGCCGCGGUAAUACGAAGGGUGCAAGCGUUAAUCGGAAUUACUGGGCGUAAAGCGCGCGUAGGUGGUUCGUUAAGUUAGGAGUGAAAGCCCCGGGCUCAACCUGGGAAUUGCUUCUAAAACUGGCGGGCUAAAGUAUGGUAGAGGGUGGUGGAAUUUCCUGUGUAGCGGUGAAAUGCGUAGAUAUAGGAAGGAACAUCAGUGGCGAAGGCGACCAUCUGGACUGAUCCUGACACUGAGGUGCGAAAGCGUGGGGAGCAAACAGGAUUAAAUUCCCUGGUAGUCCACGCCGUACCCGAUGUCAACUA
This 700-nucleotide ribosomal RNA is filed under the name uncultured bacterium. Its description in RNAcentral is "bacterial SSU rRNA". It matches the Rfam family "Bacterial small subunit ribosomal RNA", at positions 125 to 818 of the family's 1533-position model. The record is from RNAcentral.